UAGGGAAUUUUCGUCAAUGGGCGCAAGCCUGAACGAGCAAUGCCGCGUGAACGAGGAAGGUCUUCGGAUCGUAAAGUUCUGUUGAAGGGGAAAAAGAGCGGAGAGAGGAAAUGGUCUCCGAUUGAUAUUACCCUUCCGAGGAAGUCACGGCUAACUACGUGCC
RNAcentral lists this ribosomal RNA (163 nucleotides) under uncultured bacterium. RNAcentral describes it as "partial 16S ribosomal RNA". It matches the Rfam family "Bacterial small subunit ribosomal RNA", at positions 355 to 509 of the family's 1533-position model. The record is from RNAcentral.